This 617-nucleotide ribosomal RNA is filed under the name uncultured bacterium. Its description in RNAcentral is "bacterial SSU rRNA". The stretch from base 1 to 522 matches the Rfam family "Bacterial small subunit ribosomal RNA", at positions 338 to 873 of the family's 1533-position model. The record is from RNAcentral.
CCUACGGGAGGCAGCAGUGGGGAAUAUUGGGCAAUGGAGGAAACUCUGACCCAGCGACGCCGCGUGCGGGAUGAAGGCCUUCGGGUUGUAAACCGCUUUCAGCAGGGAAGAAGCGAAAGUGACGGUACCUGCAGAAGAAGCACCGGCUAACUAUGUGCCAGCAGCCGCGGUAAUACAUAGGGUGCAAGCGUUGUCCGGAAUUAUUGGGCGUAAAGAGCUCGUAGGUGGUUCGUCACGUCGGAUGUGAAAAUCUGGGGCUUAACCCCAGACCUGCAUUCGAUACGGGCGAGCUUGAGUAUGGUAGGGGAGUCUGGAAUUCCUGGUGUAGCGGUGGAAUGCGCAGAUAUCAGGAGGAACACCAAUGGCGAAGGCAGGACUCUGGGCCAUUACUGACACUGAGGAGCGAAAGCGUGGGGAGCGAACAGGAUUAGAUACCCUGGUAGUCCACGCCGUAAACGGUGGGCACUAGUUGUGGGGACCUUCCACGGUCUCCGCGACGCNGCUACGACAUAGUAGCCCGCCGCGGGAGGUACGAGUCGCGAGAAGUUAAACGUAACGUAAAGUAAGUUAGUUACGGUCGUUAGAGUACGCGACGGACGACGACGACGGAGGAGGAG